GAUCAUGGCUCAGGACGAACGCUGGCGGCGUGCCUAAUACAUGCAAGUAGAACGCUGAAAAGAGGAGCUUGCUCUUCUUGGAUGAGUUGCGAACGGGUGAGUAACGCGUAGGUAACCUGCCUUGUAGCGGGGGAUAACUAUUGGAAACGAUAGCUAAUACCGCAUAACAAUGGAUGACACAUGUCAUUUAUUUGAAAGGGGCAAUUGCUCCACUACAAGAUGGACCUGCGUUGUA
This 235-nucleotide ribosomal RNA is filed under the name uncultured bacterium. RNAcentral's name for it is "partial 16S ribosomal RNA". It matches the Rfam family "Bacterial small subunit ribosomal RNA", at positions 15 to 240 of the family's 1533-position model. The record is from RNAcentral.